Molecule: ribosomal RNA, 872 nt
Filed under: uncultured bacterium
Lineage: Bacteria
Description: bacterial SSU rRNA
Rfam family: Bacterial small subunit ribosomal RNA
Source: RNAcentral
ACAUGCAAGUCGAGGGGCAGCAUGGUCUUAGCUUGCUAAGGCCGAUGGCGACCGGCGCACGGGUGAGUAACACGUAUCCAACCUGCCGUCUACUCUUGGACAGCCUUCUGAAAGGAAGAUUAAUACAAGAUGGCAUCAUGAGUUCACAUGUUCACAUGAUUAAAGGUAUUCCGGUAGACGAUGGGGAUGCGUUCCAUUAGAUAGUAGGCGGGGUAACGGCCCACCUAGUCUUCGAUGGAUAGGGGUUCUGAGAGGAAGGUCCCCCACAUUGGAACUGAGACACGGUCCAAACUCCUACGGGAGGCAGCAGUGAGGAAUAUUGGUCAAUGGGCGAGAGCCUGAACCAGCCAAGUAGCGUGAAGGAUGACUGCCCUAUGGGUUGUAAACUUCUUUUAUAAAGGAAUAAAGUCGGGUAUGCAUACCCGUUUGCAUGUACUUUAUGAAUAAGGAUCGGCUAACUCCGUGCCAGCAGCCGCGGUAAUACGGAGGAUCCGAGCGUUAUCCGGAUUUAUUGGGUUUAAAGGGAGCGUAGAUGGAUGUUUAAGUCAGUUGUGAAAGUUUGCGGCUCAACCGUAAAAUUGCAGUUGAUACUGGAUAUCUUGAGUGCAGUUGAGGCAGGCGGAAUUCGUGGUGUAGCGGUGAAAUGCUUAGAUAUCACGAAGAACUCCGAUUGCGAAGGCAGCCUGCUAAGCUGCAACUGACAUUGAGGCUCGAAAGUGUGGGUAUCAAACAGGAUUAGAUACCCUGGUAGUCCACACGGUAAACGAUGAAUACUCGCUGUUUGCGAUAUACAGCAAGCGGCCAAGCGAAAGCGUUAAGUAUUCCACCUGGGGAGUACGCCGGCAACGGUGAAACUCAAAGGAAUUGACGGG